AGGAUACAAACGUACCCCACACCAGUGGUUCCCGAACAGAGCAGUAUCGCUACCUGAGGAUGGGAGUGUUUGCGUUGGUGUUUCAGAAACGAAAGGUGUAUCAGAUGAGCUUAAAACUUCAUUGGACCGGAUUCUCGACCUAAACGAUGUCUCAUCAAAUGAUAGCUUAUUCAAGUACCUCUGGGAUGGCUCCAAUAUAAAUACUAGCAGAGGACGUACUGUGAGCCACCGAAAGUCGAGG
Molecule: long non-coding RNA, 241 nt
Organism: Physella acuta
Lineage: Eukaryota; Metazoa; Mollusca; Gastropoda; Physidae
Source: RefSeq, a predicted model, not a curated record